CGUACCCGUAUAUUAAAUACACCUACUUUUACUGGAAAGAAAAAGAUAUACAUAUAGGUAUAUAUUUUAUACAUACACUCCCCGAAGAAGAUAGGGAGCCACCCAAGUCUUUGCUAUACGAUCGUCGUGGAGAUGGACGUCGCUUCGCGAGCAAGCGACGACGAAAAAAAUCAAAUGUGACUUGUGACAACUCUGCUGGCCCUAGCAGAAGACAGACAUGUUGGCUGCUGCAGGAAGGAACAGCUCGCCAGCCGCCGCCGAUUCAGUAGCAGCCGCCGCCUCGCUGUUCUCGCGGACCUGGAGCUCCGUUAUCUGCCGGAAGAAGUCAACAACGUCGACGGCAAGGACGCCAGCCAGCCGCAGCGUGAGUAGAUUAAUUCUGUGAGGCGGCACGACGAAGACGACGACGACGACGACGACGAGAGGCAGAAGAAGACGGAGGAGGAAGCGGCUUGGGCCCAGCCUCGCGCCAGUGCAGCUUGAAGACGAGCGAGGAA
Copidosoma floridanum is the source of this 497-nucleotide long non-coding RNA. NCBI's taxonomy places the organism in Eukaryota, Metazoa, Arthropoda, Insecta, Hymenoptera, Encyrtidae. The record is from RefSeq and is a predicted model, not a curated record.